RNAcentral lists this ribosomal RNA (253 nucleotides) under uncultured bacterium. RNAcentral's name for it is "partial 16S ribosomal RNA". It matches the Rfam family "Bacterial small subunit ribosomal RNA", at positions 524 to 776 of the family's 1533-position model. The record is from RNAcentral.
UACGGGGGGGGCAAGCGUUGUUCGGAAUUACUGGGCGUAAAGGGCUCGUAGGCGGCCAACUAAGUCAGACGUGAAAUCCCUCGGCUUAACCGGGGAACUGCGUCUGAUACUGGAUGGCUGGAGUUUGGGAGAGGGAUGCGGAAUUCCAGGUGUAGCGGUGAAAUGCGUAGAUAUCUGGAGGAACACCGGUGGCGAAGGCGGCAUCCUGGACCAAUACUGACGCUGAGGAGCGAAAGCCAGGGGAGCAAACGGG